UCUCUUACAUUCUAUUCCCCCACAGCAGGGAGUAGGGGCAAUAACAUUGAGAGGAGCCACUACUGCUCUCACCACUCAACUCCUGGGUUGGGAAGUUUUCCUUGCACAGGUGAAGAAGGGCAAGGGCUUAAAUACAUGUCCUGAACAACGAAAUGAGGAGUGCUCAGUGAACUACAUGGCAGCACAGAGCAGUUUUUUUGAGAUCUGACAACGUCAUAUUGGUAAAAGAAGAAUGGUGGCUGGGCUUAUAUGAGGAAGGAGGGUUCUAGAGACCUGGUACAUCUGCCUCCAGAUACAAAGGAUCAUUUUGGAGUGGGACUUCCCAAAUGUCUAAGUUGUGGAGGGCUUUUAAAUGUUGUUUUGACAGACAAAAGGAGUCUCAAAAUGACUGGGAUGUAUCCAGUACAAUGGACGUGAGCAGACUCAUGAAACAAAACAGUAAAAUUUCCUUUGCUAUUUUUUAUUCUUUUGUCCCCAAAAGAUUGUCCACUAUUCUCAUAUUCUGUGCACUGGUGCUUCUCAGGCAAGUAGGAUUCUUGCAAGAGAGUUUCUGAUAAAAUGAAAUGUUUAACAGAAGCAUCAAUUGGAAUGAGUGAUAAAGGAACAUCCAUAUUUUCAAGAGCUAAAUCUUUUGAGAUCAAAAUUCCUGAAACAAGCUAAUUUGUCUUCAAAAUAUGCAUUAAACAUAAGCCUGUACUAUUUUCAGGACUCAACCUCUGUGUCAGACAUAGAUUUCCUAACCUGCUGUGAUAAAGCAAUUACCUCAGGCUUUGAAGUCAGCUAUGAGAAACUUUUUAAGGAUUCCAUAGUCUGGUGGAGACAUCUGGCUGGAAAACAGAAAUUAGUGCAAAUUUAUUGCAUUAACCUAAGAAAUAUUUGAGCCAAAACCCUCAACAGAACAACUGAUACUCUUUAAGGCUGAAAAUGUAUUUCAGAAAGUAGAAUGUCUAUAAAUACAGUGGAUGUUUAGACUCUAAAAAUAAAUGAAGUUAUUUUGAAUUGUCUUUUCUUUUGAAUUGUCUCAACCACCUUCUGUUAGCCACUGACUAUAAGAAGCCACUGAGAUAACUCUCCAGUAAAAUGUAAAUGCUAUUUAUCCAA
Passer domesticus (house sparrow) is the source of this 1101-nucleotide long non-coding RNA. RefSeq lists it as uncharacterized. The record is from RefSeq and is a predicted model, not a curated record. NCBI's taxonomy places the organism in Eukaryota, Metazoa, Chordata, Aves, Passeriformes, Passeridae. The transcript is spliced from 3 exons.